This 399-nucleotide long non-coding RNA is filed under the name Ananas comosus (pineapple). Its description in RNAcentral is "long non-coding RNA (ACOM_LNC033125)". The record is from RNAcentral. Lineage: Eukaryota; Viridiplantae; Streptophyta; Magnoliopsida; Poales; Bromeliaceae.
CACCAAACCUCAGUAUUUAAUACUGGGUCCUUCACAGCACGUGUAACACGCGCGAAAACCCCUCUACGUACGAUCUCACACAAAACGGUACAUAAAAUGUCACAACUUUUAUGAAAAUACCGUUUUGCCAUCACCGACCACUCCUCGAUCAACGCGUAAUCUCCGCAGAUCCGUCGGUCGGAUUUGCGAACGGAUUGCACCAGUACGAUCAGCACGACGGGGACAACAAAGCUACUAUUUCAUUUCAUCUCGAUCGAUCGCAGAUUCGCGACGAAAUCUGUUCUCUCUCCAAUAGAAGAAAAUACAUUCAAAUACAUAUAAAGCAUGUAUUUUCAGAUUUUCUCGAAAUCCGUGCGUCAAACUCAAAAUCUGUCAGCGCCAUUAGUUCCAAAAUAACCG